UUCCGGUUGAUCCCGCCGGACCUGACUGCUAUCGGAUUGAUACUAAGCCAUGCGAGUCAUUGUAGCAAUACAAGGCAGACGGCUCAGUAAACGCGUAGUCAACCUACCCUAUGGACGGGAACAACCUCGGGAAACUGAGAAUAAUGCCCGAUAGAACACUAUACCUGGAAUGGUUUGUGUUCCAAAUGAUUUAUCGCCGUAGGAUGGGACUGCGGCCUAUCAGUUUGUUGGUGAGGUAAUGGCCCACCAAGACUAUUACAGGUACGGGCUCUGAGAGGAGUGGCCCGGAGAUGGGUACUGAGACACGGACCCAGGCCCUAUGGGGCGCAGCAGGCGAGAAAACUUUGCAAUGUGCGAAAGCACGACAAGGUUAAUCCGAGUGGUUUCUGCUAAAGGAACCUUUUGUCGGUCCUAGAAACACCGAUGAAUAAGGGGUGGGCAAGUUCUGGUGUCAGCCGCCGCGGUAAAACCAGCACCUCAAGUGGUCAGGAUGAUUAUUGGGCCUAAAGCAUCCGUAGCCCGCUUUGUAAGUUUUCGGUUAAAUCCAUGCGCUUAACGUAUGGGCUGCCGGGAAUACUGCAAAGCUAGGGAGUGGGAGAGGUAGACGGUACUCGGUAGGAAGGGGUAAAAUCCUUUGAUCUAUUGAUGACCACCUGUGGCGAAGGCGGUCUACCAGAACACGUCCGACGGUGAGGGAUGAAAGCUGGGGGAGCAAACCGGAUUAGAUACCCGGGUAGUCCCAGCUGUAAACUAUGCAAACUCAGUGAUGCAUCGGCUUGAUGCCAAUGCAGUGCUGCAGGGAAGCCGUUAAGUUUGCCGCCUGGGAAGUACGUACGCAAGUAUGAAACUUAAAGGAAUUGGCGGGGGAGCACCACAAGGGGUGAAGCCUGCGGUUCAAUUGGAUUCAACGCCGGA
This 915-nucleotide ribosomal RNA is filed under the name uncultured archaeon. RNAcentral describes it as "bacterial SSU rRNA". It matches the Rfam family "Archaeal small subunit ribosomal RNA", at positions 1 to 922 of the family's 1478-position model. The record is from RNAcentral.